GGGGAUGUGGUGUAAUGGCAGCCACGCGGGUCUUAGAAGCCCGUGCCGCAAGGCGUACCGGUUCAAGUCCGGUCAUCCCCAC
RNAcentral lists this transfer RNA (82 nucleotides) under compost metagenome. RNAcentral describes it as "tRNA-Leu". It matches the Rfam family "tRNA". From Rfam's summary of the family: Transfer RNA (tRNA) molecules are approximately 80 nucleotides in length. Their secondary structure includes four short double-helical elements and three loops (D, anti-codon, and T loops). The record is from RNAcentral.